UACGAAGGGGGCUAGCGUUGCUCGGAAUCACUGGGCGUAAAGGGUGCGUAGGCGGGUCUUUAAGUCAGGGGUGAAAUCCUGGAGCUCAACUCCAGAACUGCCUUUGAUACUGAGGAUCUUGAGUUCGGGAGAGGUGAGUGGAACUGCGAGUGUAGAGGUGAAAUUCGUAGAUAUUCGCAAGAACACCAGUGGCGAAGGCGGCUCACUGGCCAGAUACUGACGCUGAGGCACGAAAGCGUGGGGAGCAAACAGG
RNAcentral lists this ribosomal RNA (253 nucleotides) under uncultured bacterium. RNAcentral's name for it is "partial 16S ribosomal RNA". It matches the Rfam family "Bacterial small subunit ribosomal RNA", at positions 524 to 776 of the family's 1533-position model. The record is from RNAcentral.